AGCUAAUAGAUACCCAGGUAGUCCUGGCCCUAAACGCUGCUCGCUCGUUCUACGGAGUAUCGACCCUCUGUGGGACUAAAGCUAACGCGGUAAGCGAGCCGCCUGGGUAGUACGAUCGCAAGAUUAAAACUCAAAGGAAUAGACGGGGACUCGCACAAGCGGUGGAUCAUGUGGCUUAAUUCGUAGCUAAGCGAAGAACCUUACCCGGGCUAGAAACCAAGCUGCAUCCAACCCGAAAGGGAUGGAGCCUUCGAGGGUGCUUGGCAGGUGAUGCAUGGUUGUCGUCAGUUCGUGGCUUGAGCUGUUCCCUUCAGUGGGGUAACGAACGCAACCCUUAUUGUCUGUUACUUAUGUCAGGCGAGACUGCCCCCUCACGGGGGAGGAAGGUGGGGAUGACGCCAAAUCAGCAUGUCCCUUGAUGCCCGGGGCUGCACACGUGAUACAAUGGGUGGUACAGAAGGACGCAAUCCCGUAAGGAGGAGCAAAUCCCAAAAACCACCCCACGUUCGGAUUGAGGUCUGCAACCGACCUCAUGAAGCCGGAAGUC
Molecule: ribosomal RNA, 547 nt
Filed under: uncultured bacterium
Lineage: Bacteria
Description: bacterial SSU rRNA
Rfam family: Bacterial small subunit ribosomal RNA
Source: RNAcentral